GUGAAAGAGAAAGUUACUGCAUGGUUAAGUGGUUACACUCUCAGAUACAGGUAGAGGCAGCUUAGGAAUGUAAAUAUUUAGCCAAUGUUGAAAAACUUGAAUGAGAGAUUUGGAGAACAACUGUCCCAGAAUAUCCUGAAGUGGAGUAAUCAGGCUUUUCUGGGAGACAAACAUACAUCGGAGUUGCAACCAGCAGGGAGGAGAUUUGGAUGUAAGUUUCUCACAUCACAAUUUAGUUCUGCCAUCUCCAGUCCAACUCUUCUCUCCAGUCCUCCUCAGCAGCGCCCAGUUACAAGGCCUGAAGUGAAUGAGUAGCCCCAGGAAGUGCAGGAUGGGCAAGAGGAGCUCUCCCUGCUCAGCUCAGGAUGGCAAAGCACUAUGCGGAGCAGGCACAUGCUCACAGGAAGACAGAUCUGCUACUAGCAGACUCCUCAGCCUUGUUAAAGCAGAAAUACCCAUCAACCCCAGUGUCUUAUACCACUUCACGGUGCCAUGCAGGCACAGUGAUGUGGCCUGAAGCCAGCCACUGGUCCUGCCUUGUUUCCUCAUCCAGAAAUUGAUGAUGCAGCCUGCCUGCCAGUAGAAACUCCCAUUGUGAAACUGAGUUUGCUGAUAUUUGCAAAGUAUUUGAAGGUGUGUCUCAGUGGGAAACAAGGUCUGCUCUAGCUUCAGUUAGGUAAUGUGAGUACACCCGUUUAUGAUCCCAAUGGUGAAACACUGGUGAGCAGCAUUUCACACGCAUGAAGUCAAGCUAGGAUUCCUCUUUAACCAAGCUAACUCAGGUUUCAUCCUGAAUCCUACCAAUUAUUUAAAUCCCAGCUUCCCACAAGAGCCUCCUGCUCUGCUGUGGUGGAGCUGUUGACUCACAUUGCCUGCUCUGACUUGGGUGAUGCCAAAACUCACGUGUGGAUGUGGAGUAGCACUGGACUUCCUACAGAGGCACCACCAGCAAUGCUGGGCCAUCUAAUGCAGUGGGAUUAGCUCAGGGCAGUUCUGCAUCUUGACACACUGUGCAUUAACCCAAGUUAGGGAAGCAAACUAAGAAUGUGUCUCUUUACUUCACAGGAAUGAUAGAGAGGAAAAUUCAAUAUGGCUAUUCAUGGAAGAAUGAUUUCUGUCAUUUAUUCCAAACACUUCUAAAGUUUAAUAGAAGCAUCAACAAACACAGUUAUUAAGAUUCACUUUACUCAUCAGCAGUGUUUCUGUCUCUAGGCAGAACUUUAUAUAUCUGCUUAAUAGCACAGAGCAAAUUUACAGCACAGCUUAAGGUAGAAAAUCGUGAAUAUUACUUCAAAAAUAGAUAGCAUAGGAUAAUUGUGUGGAGCUGCACUUUGUCACACUGAAAUUCAUGAUAAUAGGUAAGCACAGAGGCACAAUUCUUACCCACCCGUCAUUGUUUACAUAAAUUGAAAAUUCAGAAUUGUUCAGAAGUUGAAAUAAGUCCUAUUAAUAUUCAAAGUCACUUCCACUUCAGUGAGGUUUUCUGUUAUUUUAAAAUUGUGCCCUCUUUUAAGAAAUCUACAUUUCUUAAAAAGAUAGUUCAGUGGGCUUCCUGCUUUUCCUACAUAUUCUUUCUGUUUGUUUGUUUGUUUCUCAGUUAUUUCUGUAUAGACUACAUAUAAUAAUAUCCAAGUUAGCAUUUUCUUUCAUCGCUUUAUUUUCUGUAACAGUUCAAUAUUUCUUCAGGUUUAGAAAUAUGAGAGACUGUCAAAUGAAAAUGAAAUAUAUGUAUAUUUAAAAAACAACUUUAACCUUGAAUUUAAUGCAUUCUUAUAAAAGUAUAAAGAAGAGAUUAUAAAAGUUAAUACUAUACUGUCAGAGACUUAUAAUUUAAAUAAAAUCAAUAAAAU
Phasianus colchicus (ring-necked pheasant) is the source of this 1850-nucleotide long non-coding RNA. The record is from Ensembl. NCBI's taxonomy places the organism in Eukaryota, Metazoa, Chordata, Aves, Galliformes, Phasianidae.